RNAcentral lists this ribosomal RNA (403 nucleotides) under uncultured bacterium. Its description in RNAcentral is "partial 16S ribosomal RNA". It matches the Rfam family "Bacterial small subunit ribosomal RNA", at positions 30 to 526 of the family's 1533-position model. The record is from RNAcentral.
AUUGAACGCUGGCGGCAGGCCUAACACAUGCAAGUCGAGCGAGCGUCGGACGGGUGCGUAAUGUAUGGGGACUGCCCGAUAGAGGGGGAUAACUACUGGAUACGGUAGCUAAUACCGCAUACUAUCGGAUAACCCAUAUGGGAUUAGCUAGUAGGUGAGGUAAUGGCUAACCUAGGCGACGAUCCCUAGCUGGUCUGAGAGGAUGAUCAGCCACACUAGGAAUGAGAAACGGACCAGACUCCUACGGAGGCAGCAGUGGGGAGUAUUGCACAAUAGGCGCAAGCCUGAUGCAGCCAUGCAGCGAGUAUGAAGAAGGCCCUAGGGAUGUAAAGUACUAUCAUUCGGGAGGCGUUACCGACGGAAGAAGAACCGGCUAACUCCGUGCCAGCAGCCGCGGUAAUUC